RNAcentral lists this long non-coding RNA (5719 nucleotides) under Triticum aestivum (bread wheat). RNAcentral's name for it is "long non-coding RNA (TAES_LNC007808)". The record is from RNAcentral. Lineage: Eukaryota; Viridiplantae; Streptophyta; Magnoliopsida; Poales; Poaceae.
CACCACUGAACACCUCCGCGCGAGAGUUUCCCUGCUGCCGUCCUUCUUCCCUUGCCUCUGCUGCUGCUCUUGCUUGCGCCCCUGUGCUGCUGCCUUUCUUCUCCCCUUGCUACUGCUCCCCUUUUCUAGCGCCUCAACCUGCUGCUCCUUCUCCUUCGCCUGCUGCUAGUCCCUUUCCCCAUGCCUCUGCUGCUCCUCCUCUUAAAACUGCUGCUGCUCUUCUUCCCCACGUUCCUGCUCUGCACUCUGCUUCUCACCUCCGUUGCUGCUGUUUCUCUUCUGAACCUCUGCUACUGUUCAGCUCUGAACCUCUGCAUCUGUGUUGAAUGUGCUUUCAGUGUUCUUGACAUGUGUAAAACUGUUCAAUAUUCAGCUUACAAUUUGUGAAACUUUUGUGAUACAGUGAUGUCUCUAUGUUAUACAUAUAGCUUGUGUACUGCUUGCUGCAGUAAAUUUCAGUUUGUAAGUUCCUGUGAUAGCUCCAGUACAUGUGACUUUUAUGUUGUCUCAAGUUCCUGUUAUAUAUAUACAUAUGUGUGUGUCUGUGAUCUGAAACAUUUAUGUUCUAUCCUACAACCUUAUUGUGUUAGCAUUUUAUUUCUCAUGUAAAACGAAAAUACCAAAAAUAUUAUUGAAGAUAAUCUGAACCUCCUUUGCCCUUUUUGCAUUUUCUUUGGUGACGAUCUUUGGGUACAACCUUGUUUAGUGUAGGUUUAUUUUCUUGCAUUCAUAAUCUGAAUUGUGUUACCUAGCUUUAGCCAACCACCGUCAUUGAUUUGCCUAGUCCCUCAUGAGAACACGACACUCAUAGUUUGGGGCGUAAAAACCCCGCUAUAUUACAAUUGAUCAUUUUGGCGCCGUUGCCGGGGACUAGCGUCGAGCGAUUGUGCGAAGCUAUAGACUAGGCUUAGUAUAGUUUUUGUUUAAAUUUCCAGUCAAAUUUAUUUCUGUGUUUCUUUUACCUUUUUACUAUUUGUUGCUUCGGCUUAUUAGGAUACUAACCCUCUCACCAAUGUUUCAUGUUUGUGAGCGUGUGUAGGAUAUCUUAUUAUUUGUAGGCUGAUUGAUAGUUGCACUUGAACAUAUGGCUUUAGUACGUGAUCUUUGGUUGCCAAGUAGUUUGGACACGAUGACAGGGCCAAUUUGGCCAUCUAUUGAGGCCAAAAAUUUUGAGUUGAGGCCUGGACUUAUUGCUCUCGUCUUGCAGAAUCAGUUUAGAGGAUUACCCAAUGAAGACCCUCAUGAGCACAUUAGUAAUGUUCUGGAGUAUGCCAAUACAGUCUAGUAUCAUGGCGUUUCCCAAGAUGCUAUCAAGUGUAUGUUGUUCACAUUCUCUCUCAGAGAUGCUGCUAAGGACUGGUACUAUUCUUUUCCAUCAAGAUCAUACACUUGGGGUGAUAUUUCACAAGCUUUCCUGCAUAGAUAUUUUCCACUUUACAAGCAAGCUGCAAUUCGUGACCAGAUCCUCAGUUCUGCGCAAGAUGGUAGUGAGAGCUUGUAUGCAGCUUGGGAGAGAUAUAAGUAUUUGCUUAGAAAAUGUCCUAAUCAUGGGCAAAAGGAUUGGUUAGUGCUUCAGAUAUUCUAUAGAGGGAUGACACAUGCUUCAAGAGAUCUUAUUGAUAUGUCAACUGGUGGAACAAUCAUGAACAAGACCGUCGAGGGUGCAAUUAUUCUCAUUGAGAGCAUUGCCUUCCACCAAAUUCAAUGGGGUUAUGAAAGGCCUAGUUCAAAUCCGAAGGUUGCAAGCCUCGUGCAAUCAAAAGUUGUGUGUUCCAUAAGUGAACAGAAAUCAUCCAUGGUGCCUAAUAUUCAAAACCAGCAUGUUUCAUUCCGGGGACAACAACAUUUCAGAACUGAAUUAAAUCCUCCAUAUAGAACGAUUGAUCUUACUUCAAUUAUCCUUGAUGAUGAUUAUGAUAUUUUUCAAGAUGAUGAAACUACUGUAGAUCAGAUGGAAACCACAGUAGCAGAUCCAAUACCUCAUGGCAAUGAAACUGUCCAGAAUGAGUCAAAGCUGCAAGAAGAUGUUUAUGAGGAACCUACUCUGAUUGAUGCUAAGUUGAGACAGCAAGAUAUGGAGAUAUUCACUUGUGUUAGUCAACUAUGUGACUGGUGGAAUUUAGUCGUGUCACCAAUUGCCCACACUUGUGUUACAACGGUAUCUGGGCUAUUUGUCAAGAAGAAAUCAUUAGCUCCACCGGUGGUUGCCUCUAUCACAGUUAAAGAGAGUAUCUCAGAGAAGAAUAGUGAAGAUGAUAUUCCAACUCCUGCACAUACAACUAAGCAAGUCGGAGCCAUUCCAAGGAGAGAGAUACAAGAGGUUGAGUCAAAUUUAGAAGAGUUGAUACUUCAAUAUCCUGAGAAGAUCCCACGUGUUGCUGAGCUGCAUGACUGGUGGAAGUCAUCAGUGUCACUGUGGAGACUUAGUAGUGAUGGUGAUGAGGAGAACAUUGCUCAGAAAGACAACGAGGUAGUGAUCUCAGCACCCCUACCAGAUCAUGUUAGUGAAUAUUCACAUAUGGGGACACUUCAGACUCAAUUAAGUGUUGCUGGUAGUAGCACCAUAGAAGAUCCAGAGGAAGAGAGUCCUCAACUUGAAGAAGAUUUACAAGAAGACAAGGAACAAGAUGAUCAAGAGCUGCAAUUUCCAAGUGAUCAAGUUGAAGACUCAUCAUCUACUACUCCUGAAGAAGUACAAGAUGCUGCUAUAGAUGAAGAUGAAGAACCUGAGAUUCAUUGGCCUAUUGUCAUACAUGAGCGCGAUGUGUCAGGUUUACCCAAUCCUCUUGAUGACAUGCUCCCUUGUGACUUCUUUGCUUCUAACUUGCAUUGCAUGAUGCCAUCACUUAAGGUAGAUUUGAAAAACUAUUUGCUUGGACAUGAUCAUACACACCCUGUUAGUGGCAUUACUCUCAUUUGUGAUGAUCACAGUUACUUUCCUCGUGCUAGUUCUAUGCUUAAUGAAACAUAUCAUUCCCAUGUUAGUCUUGAGCUUAAUGAUAAAUAUCAUCCUCAUGUUAGCAUUGAGCUUACUGAUUUGUACCGUCCUAAACAUGUGCUUUAUAGCUAUGCUUAUGUAAUUGGGUACUCUAUAGAUGAUUUAGAGGGCAUUACCCUUGUCACUUGUAUUGUUUCCCUGGUUGAGUGCUCUUUCAGGUUGUUGCUUGUGCACGAUCCACUACAUGCUGACCAAGUUCGAGAUGACAUUCCCUGGGACCCCGGUGGACCCAUGGCAUGGGGAUGAGGAGAAGCAAGGAGCACACAUGAAGAGAGAAGCUGGAGCAGGCAUGAGGAUAGAGAAGCAAAAAGAGAAGAGCUGCAGCUUAGAGAGUGAUCAAGCGAGUGCUACUUCAUAGUGCCCGGUUAGCUGUUUCAUGACCCAUUCUGAGUAUAUCAUCCAUUGAUGCUUGCUGAAUUAAAUUGCUAUUUGGGUUGCUUGUGCCAUUUAUUAAAUGUUGUCCCACUGAAUUUCACCUUUGACAUAUGGUGCUUGAUGAGAAUAUGCGAACUAAUUGUUGAACGCCUUGUAACUAGUGAUCUACACCCUGUUUGCACUGCUGAAAGUAGUGAAAGCUAUUAGUUCUGAGUGCUCAAAUCCCUAGUACACUAGAAAACUAAAUCAUUUUCUGCAUUUACUAUGAUACACCUAGAUCACCAUGUUUAGAUGCUGAAUUUGUGCCAAGUGUGUUCCCAUUGAGAGCAAUCACCUAACCACUAUGGAAUAGCAUGCUAUGUUCCCUGGAUCGGUAGCAUGUGAACCAGACAUGGAGAAGUGAUGAUUCCUAUUUUUGUGCUUAUGCAUUGUUCAUUUAAGAUAAGUAAUAAUGAAUAAAUUAGUCUGACUACCUACAGUAGCAUGUCAUGUUCUUGGGAUCGGUGGCAUGUGAAAUCGGGUUAGCUUGGGCAGUAAUUAUUAUAAAAAUGUAAUUGUCGAACCAGGUGUAUACCAUGUUCUCGGGAUCGGUGGUAUGUUCCUUUGGGGAGACAAACAAGAAAACUAUAUAAUUGGUCGAGCCGGGUGUAUACCAUGUUCUCGGGAUCGGUGGUAUGUUCCUUUGGUGAGAUCAAUAAAAUAUUAUCAUUACUUCCUUCAAAUUCAAUAAGUGGUUCAACCACAAAGUUAUAUUUCUGCAAAUAAGAGAUUUAAUUCCAGUUCUUUUUGUUCUCGGGAUCAUGCUCUCUUUAGGAAUCAUUUGGCGCAAUCAUCAUUUAAACUUGUUGGUCCUCUUUUAUCAUUGUAAAAGUUUAAAAUGGUCAUGCUUACCAGUAUCCUACUGCUUUGUAGCACUCUUAACCAUCAAUUUUCACUAGCUAAGUCCAAAAGCAUGCAUUGUUUAGAGAUCUACUUCACUUGGACAUUCUUUACUCAGUUCACUGUUCACAUUCUUGCUCUUGUCAUAUGCCUUUACUUGAGGACAAGCAAAGAUUUAAGUGUGGGGGAACUUGAUAAGUAUAUUUCACAUAUAUAAUUUUGGUACUCAAAUAUAGCUUCUAUCGUGACAUAUUCGUCCAUUCUUGCCAUGAUUGAUUGAAUAUUGCUUGAUAAUCAUCAAAGAGGAUCAUUUACUAGUCUUUGGUCUAUCUUGCAGAAAUGUGCGCAAAGGCACUAAUAAUCGUCAAGAUUCCGUCUAUGUGGCUAUCGUGAAGAGUGAAGAAGAGAAGAGAAGGAAGAAGAGACUUGUGUGAGAUGAAGAGAAGUAACCAGGGGGCUAGGUAAAGAAGUGGGAGGACCUUCUUGUGAAGAAAGAAGAGAAGAAAGAGGGCCAAAUCACAAAGUGCAGAUGAGAGGAGGGGAACAAAAUCUAGGCGCUGGAGGGAUCCGAUCGGGCCUGGCCAUAUCUCCAUCUCUCUUCUCCCCCACCACUUCUUCCACCUCAGGCCGCCGCCACGGCCAGGCCGGCGUGGUGGUGUGCCUCUGCAGCCCAGCCACCACCAUCUCCAUCCAUCUCCGCUGCGGCACCAUCCACAUCAGCGCCGCUGCGCCAUCCAUCACCAGCACCAACACCCAGCGCCACCUAGCACCUCCACACGCUCCACACCGCCACCAUCUAUCACCACCGCACCACUGAACACCUCCGUGCGAGAGUUUCCCUGCUGCCGUCCUUCUUCCCUUGCCUCUGUAGCUGCUCUUUCUUGCGCCCCUGUGCUGCUGCCUUUCUUCUCCCCUUGCUACUGCUCCCCUUUUCUAGCGCCUCAACCUGCUGCUGCUUCUCCUUCGCCUGCUGCUAGUCCCUUUCCCCACGCCUCUGCUGCUCCUCCUCUUAAAACUGCUACUGCUCUUCUUUCCCACGUUCCUGCUCUGCACUCUGCUUCUCACCUCCGUUGCUGCUGUUUCUCUUCUGAACCUCUGCUACUGUUCAACUCUGAACCUCUGCAUCUGUGUUGAAUGUGCUUUCAGUGUUCUUGAGAUGUGUAAAACUGUUCAAUAUUCAGCUUACAAUUUGUGAAACUUUUGUGAUUCAGCGGUGUCUCUAUGUUAUACAUAUAGAUUGUGUAUUGCUCGCUGCAGUAAAUUUCAGUUUGUAAGUUCCUGUGAUAGCUCUAGUACAUGUGACUUUUAUGUUGUCUCAAGUUCCUGUUAUAUAUAUACAUAUGUGUGUGUCUGUGAUGUGAUACAUUUAUGUUCUGUCCUACAACCUUAUUGUGUUAGCAUUUUAUUUCUCAUGUAAAACGAAAAUACCAAAAAUAUUAUUGAAGAUAAUCUGAACCUCCUUUGCCC